Non-coding RNA from Phrynosoma platyrhinos (Desert horned lizard), 71 nucleotides. NCBI's taxonomy places the organism in Eukaryota, Metazoa, Chordata, Lepidosauria, Squamata, Phrynosomatidae. The record is from the annotation of a GenBank genome assembly.
GCUAGUGUGGUGUAGUGGCUUAAAUAUUGGUCUACAGCUCUAGAGAACAGGGUUCGAAUCCCUACUUAGCC